This 67-nucleotide transfer RNA is filed under the name Ophiopholis japonica. Its description in RNAcentral is "tRNA-Glu". Lineage: Eukaryota; Metazoa; Echinodermata; Ophiuroidea; Amphilepidida; Ophiactidae. The record is from RNAcentral.
AGCUUAUAUAGUUUAAAAGAACAACAGCCUUUCUCGUUGUAAGUCCCAGAAAGCUGGGUGUAAGUUA